GAUGAACGCUAGCGACAGGCUUAACACAUGCAAGUCGAGGGGCAGCACGGGAGUAGCAAUACAACUGGUGGCGACCGGCGCACGGGUGAGUAACGCGUAUGCAACCUACCUAUCAGAGGGGAAUAACCCGGCGAAAGUCGGACUAAUACCGCAUAAAACAGGGGCACCGCAUGGUGAUAUUUGUUAAAGAAAUUCGCUGAUAGAUGGGCAUGCGUUCCAUUAGGUAGUUGGUGAGGUAACGGCUCACCAAGCCGACGAUGGAUAGGGGAACUGAGAGGUUGGUCCCCCACACUGGUACUGAGACACGGACCAGACUCCUACGGGAGGCAGCAGUGAGGAAUAUUGGUCAAUGGGCGAGAGCCUGAACCAGCCAAGUCGCGUGAAGGAAGAAGGAUCUAUGGUUCGUAAACUUCUUUUGCAGGGGAAUAAAGUGCAGGACGUGUCCUGUUUUGUAUGUACCCUGAGAAUAAGGAUCGGCUAACUCCGUGCCAGCAGCCGCGGU
RNAcentral lists this ribosomal RNA (502 nucleotides) under uncultured bacterium. RNAcentral's name for it is "bacterial SSU rRNA". It matches the Rfam family "Bacterial small subunit ribosomal RNA", at positions 28 to 521 of the family's 1533-position model. The record is from RNAcentral.